GAGUUUGAUCCUGGCUCAGAUUGAACGCUGGCGGCAUGCCUUACACAUGCAAGUCGAACGGUAACGCGGGGCAACCUGGCGACGAGUGGCGAACGGGUGAGUAAUACAUCGGAACGUGCCCAGUAGUGGGGGAUAGCCCGGCGAAAGCCGGAUUAAUACCGCAUACGACCUACGGGUGAAAGCGGGGGAUCGCAAGACCUCGCGCUAUUGGAGCGGCCGAUGUCGGACUAGCUAGUUGGUGGGGUAAAAGCCUACCAAGGCUACGAUCCGUAGCUGGUCUGAGAGGACGACCAGCCACACUGGGACUGAGACACGGCCCAGACUCCUACGGGAGGCAGCAGUGGGGAAUUUUGGACAAUGGGCGCAAGCCUGAUCCAGCCAUGCCGCGUGCGGGAAGAAGGCCUUCGGGUUGUAAACCGCUUUUGUCAGGGAAGAAACGGUUUGGGUUAAUAACUCAGACUAAUGACGGUACCUGAAGAAUAAGCACCGGCUAACUACGUGCCAGCAGCCGCGGUAAUACGUAGGGUGCAAGCGUUAAUCGGAAUUACUGGGCGUAAAGCGUGCGCAGGCGGCUUUGCAAGGCAGAUGUGAAAUCCCCGGGCUCAACCUGGGAACUGCAUUUGUGACUGCAUCGCUGGAGUGCGGCAGAGGGGGAUGGAAUUCCGCGUGUAGCAGUGAAAUGCGUAGAUAUGCGGAGGAACACCGAUGGCGAAGGCAAUCCCCUGGGCCUGCACUGACGCUCAUGCACGAAAGCGUGAGGAGCAAACAGGAUUAGAUACCCUGGUAGUC
RNAcentral lists this ribosomal RNA (789 nucleotides) under uncultured bacterium. Its description in RNAcentral is "bacterial SSU rRNA". It matches the Rfam family "Bacterial small subunit ribosomal RNA", at positions 9 to 795 of the family's 1533-position model. The record is from RNAcentral.